ACUCUCGGCAACGGAUAUCUCGGCUCUUGCAUCGAUGAAGAACGUAGCGAAAUGCGAUACUUGGUGUGAAUUGCAGAAUCCCGUGAACCAUCGAGUCUUUGAACGCAAGUUGCGCCUAAAGCCAUUAGGUUGAAAGCACGUCUGCCUGGGCGUC
RNAcentral lists this ribosomal RNA (154 nucleotides) under Rhododendron griersonianum. Its description in RNAcentral is "5.8S ribosomal RNA". It matches the Rfam family "5.8S ribosomal RNA". From Rfam's summary of the family: 5.8S ribosomal RNA (5.8S rRNA) is a component of the large subunit of the eukaryotic ribosome. It is transcribed by RNA polymerase I as part of the 45S precursor that also contains 18S and 28S rRNA. The record is from RNAcentral. Lineage: Eukaryota; Viridiplantae; Streptophyta; Magnoliopsida; Ericales; Ericaceae.